UAGGGAAUCUUCGGCAAUGGGGGGAACCCUGACCGAGCAACGCCGCGUGAGUGAAGAAGGUUUUCGGAUCGUAAAGCUCUGUUGUUAAGGAAGAACGAGUGUGAGAAUGGAAAGUUCAUACUGUGACGGUACUUAACCAGAAAGGGACGGCUAACUACGUGCCAGCAGCCGCGGUAAUACGUAGGUCCCGAGCGUUGUCCGGAUUUAUUGGGCGUAAAGCGAGCGCAGGCGGUUAGAUAAGUCUGAAGUUAAAGGCAGUGGCUCAACCAUUGUAGGCUUUGGAAACUGUUUAACCUGAGUGCAGAAGGGGAGAGGGGAAUUCCAUGUGUAGCGGUGAAAUGCGUAGAUAUAUGGAGGAACACCGGUGGCGAAAGCGGCUCUCUGGUCUGUAACUGACGCUGAGGCUCGAAAGCGUGGAGAGCGAACAGG
This 429-nucleotide ribosomal RNA is filed under the name Bacteroidota bacterium. RNAcentral describes it as "Bacteroidetes bacterium partial 16S ribosomal RNA". It matches the Rfam family "Bacterial small subunit ribosomal RNA", at positions 355 to 776 of the family's 1533-position model. The record is from RNAcentral. Lineage: Bacteria; Pseudomonadati; Bacteroidota.